ACUCUUUAGGGCAAGCUGGUUAUGACAUUUGUCACACCAUUGAUUGCCAGGCUUGAUUCAGCUGUUCUGGCUGGCUUUGAUGGUGUCUCCUUCCUCUCUCAUCACUGCAUGUGUGUCCUUCCCAAAGCUGCAUGCUCAGUCAAAGAGGACAACCUUCCUGAAUAGAGGAGGACCUUUCUUAGGUCAAGGGUACACAAGUAGCUGCUCUUCCCUGCUACAACCUCCAAGCAAGCUCAAGGUUCUAAAGCAUUGAACUGCAACAAAUGAUUGAGAAAUACACUUUGCCUUAAGGACCUUCUUUUGUUGUUAUUAUU
RNAcentral lists this small nuclear RNA (314 nucleotides) under Meriones unguiculatus (Mongolian gerbil). RNAcentral describes it as "7SK RNA (ENSMUGG00000000091.1)". It matches the Rfam family "7SK RNA". From Rfam's summary of the family: 7SK was discovered as an abundant small nuclear RNA in the mid-70s but a possible function has only recently been suggested. Lineage: Eukaryota; Metazoa; Chordata; Mammalia; Rodentia; Muridae. The record is from RNAcentral.